Molecule: ribosomal RNA, 499 nt
Filed under: uncultured bacterium
Lineage: Bacteria
Description: partial 16S ribosomal RNA
Rfam family: Bacterial small subunit ribosomal RNA
Source: RNAcentral
AUUGAACGCUGGCGGCAGGCUUAACACAUGCAAGUCGAGCGGGGGAAGGUAGCUUGCUACCGGACCUAGCGGCGGACGGGUGAGUAAUGCUUAGGAAUCUGCCUAUUAGUGGGGGACAACAUCUCGAAAGGGAUGCUAAUACCGCAUACGUCCUACGGGAGAAAGCAGGGGAUCCUCGGACCUUGCGCUAAUAGAUGAGCCUAAGUCGGAUUAGCUAGUUGGUGGGGUAAAGGCCUACCAAGGCGACGAGCUGUAGCGGGUCUGAGAAGAUGAUCCGCCACACUGGGACGGGGAGCCGGCGCAGACUGCUAGGGGAGGCGGCAGUGGGGAAUAGUGGACAAAGGGGGGAACUCUGAUCCAGCCAUGGCGCGUGUGAAGAAGGCCUUAUGGUUGUAAAGCACUUUAAGCGAGGAGGAGGCUACUUUAGUUAAUACCUAGAGAUAGUGGACGUUACUCGCAGAAUAAGCACCGGCUAACUCUGUGCCAGCCGCCGCCGUAA